RNA transcript from Centrocercus urophasianus (Greater sage-grouse), 1203 nucleotides. It is a transcript of the gene named modulator of smoothened, with no coding region annotated. The record is from RefSeq and is a predicted model, not a curated record. The transcript has 4 exons. NCBI's taxonomy places the organism in Eukaryota, Metazoa, Chordata, Aves, Galliformes, Phasianidae.
GGGCCCGCGGCGGGAGCCGGGCGGCGGCCGGAGGAGAUGGACAAACUGACCGUCAUCUCAGGAUGCCUCUUCCUGGCCGCGGACAUCUUCGCCAUCGCCAGCCUGGCCAACCCCGACUGGAUCAACACCGGCGAGUCUGCGGGUGCUCUCACAGUUGGCCUUGUGCGACAGUGUCAAACCAUCCAUGGACGUGACAGGACCUGUAUUCCUCCACGGCUGCCUCCUGAGUGGGUCACUACGUUAUUUUUCAUCAUAAUGGGAAUCAUUUCACUAACUGUCACAUGUGGUUUGCUGGUGGCUUCCCACUGGCGAAGAGAAGCUACUAAAUAUGCCCGCUGGAUAGCUUUCACUGGAAGUGAUUUCAAGACUGAACAGCCCAGUACAGGCGGCUAGCAGAUACUCUCCUCGCAGAACUUUCAGAACAUGACAUAGGAUGUGCUGUCCUAAGUGGCAGUGAAGUCUGCUGGGAUUGCUAAAGGCAUCUCUGGGACUGGCAGCUCUGUUCUCUUCAAAUGCAAGGGGGGUCUAGAUGAAAUCAUCUAACGACAAAGGAAUCUCUUGCUCAGCCCUUUCCUUGCAACUCUGCCAGCAGCAAGGAGAGCCAGGCAGGAGGUCAUUCUUGCCUUGCUUGUGCUGGAAUUUGACCCCAAUGGGUUAAGUCAGUUUGUUGCAGAUCCCCUCUAGCUACCUUCUGUCCAAGGUGGUGAAAUGCAGUCCAGAGAAGUUAUGAGAAAGUCUCGUUCUUAUCCAUAGGUGGUAUCUGAAAUACCUCUGUUUUUGAGGAAGAAGAUGAAGACCUCCCUUGCAGAAGAGAAAGGUCUUGGAAGAGCAGCUCCAUGUAGCUGGUUUGACAAUAUAAUGUAGGGAAAAAGAACUUCCUGAUUCUUUUGUCUUGAUUUUUAUGAUAAUCAUAUGAAAGACUCUUAAGGAACUAUUUGAUGUUUUCCUCAAUUGAUAGAAUUCUGUAGAGUAAAUUGGUGCAAACAUCUUCAGCACUUCAUUCCUUUGCUCACUUUACAGAGCACAGUAUGAUAAUUCAGGGAAGAAGAGUCCAGGUCAUAAACUAGUGCUGAUUGCUUGGCAUGCCUAUACCAACACCUUCAAAGAGAAGCAAAGUGAUUCUAUUCUGUAUGGCAGCCCUAAUAUUUCCAAUAGGAUUUUACAUCAAUGAAGUCGGAGGUCAACCAUAUAAAUUACCCAAUA